GCCUAAAGCGUCCGUAGCUUGCUGUGUAAGUCCAUUGGGAAAUCGACCAGCUCAACUGGUCGGCGUCCGGUGGAAACUACACAGCUUGGGGCCGAGAGACUCAACGGGUACGUCCGGGGUAGGAGUGAAAUCCUGUAAUCCUGGACGGACCACCAAUGGGGAAACCACGUUGAGAGACCGGACCCGACAGUGAGGGACGAAAGCCAGGUCUCGAACCGGAUUAGAUACCCGGGUAGUCCUGGCUGUAAACAAUGCUCGCUAGGUAUGUCACGCGCCAUGAGCACGUGAUGUGCCGUAGUGAAGACGAUAAGCGAGCCGCCUGGGAAGUACGUCCGCAAGGAUGAAACUUAAAGGAAUUGGCGGGGGAGCACCACAACCGGAGGAGCCUGCGGUUUAAUUGGACUCAACGCCGGACAUCUCACCGGUCCCGACAGUAGUAAUGACGGUCAGGUUGACGACUUUACCCGACGCUACUGAGAGGAGGUGCAUGGCCGCCGUCAGCUCGUACCGUGAGGCGUCCUGUUAAGUCAGGCAACGAGCGAGACCCACACUUCUAGUUGCCAGCAACACCCCUGCGGUGGUUGGGUACACUAGGAGGACUGCCAUUGCUAAAAUGGAGGAAGGAAUGGGCAACGGUAGGUCAGUAUGCCCCGAAUGGACCGGGCAACACGCGGGCUACAAUGGCUCUGACAGUGGGAUGCAACGCCGAGAGGCGAAGCUAAUCUCCAAACGGAGUCGUAGUUCGGAUUGCGGGCUGAAA
Molecule: ribosomal RNA, 760 nt
Filed under: uncultured Halobacteria archaeon
Lineage: Archaea; Methanobacteriati; Methanobacteriota; Halobacteria
Description: bacterial SSU rRNA
Rfam family: Archaeal small subunit ribosomal RNA
Source: RNAcentral